AUUUUCUGAUUCUCUCUCUAAAAUCCUUUUCUCUCCAACUUCUCUCUAAAACCAUUUCUCUCUUCUCACUUACGGCUUCGUCUUCUCACUUACGGCUUCGUCUUCUCACCUUCGAUUUCUUCGAUUCUCACUCGCCUUCAUCUUCUCCACAUUCUAACUUGGUUUCAGAGCUUGAAAUCAUGGCUACAACAACUACUCGUGAUACCUCACCUUCUUCUCAGACGCAAACUGCGCUAGCGCUAACAACUUCGGUCGUCGCUUCGUCACUGACUCUUCCAUCAUCGUCUAUGAAGCUAACGGUGCACAAUUUUCUUGUCUGGAAGCAUUUCAUGACAGGGAAGCUAACAUCACACCGAGCUCAGAACAGAAAUACCGCACAGGUUCCUCAAUGAAGAUGAUCGUCUAAUUAA
This 410-nucleotide long non-coding RNA is filed under the name Lupinus mutabilis. RNAcentral describes it as "partial ncRNA". The record is from RNAcentral. Lineage: Eukaryota; Viridiplantae; Streptophyta; Magnoliopsida; Fabales; Fabaceae.